AUGCCAACCUUCCGUGAAGCUGCAGAAAAACGGGGGCUCAUUGAGGCAGACAACACAUUGGAUGACUGCAUGACAGAAGCGGAGUUGUUUCGAAUGCCAUCGUCGUUACAAAGGCUAUUCGCAACAAUCCUGUUGUUUUGCGAGCCAAGCAACGUCCGUAGCCUCUGGAACAAACACCUAGAGUCAAUGUCAGAAGACUACAGUAGAAACUGCAAAUGCAAGCACAUGGUUGAACAGAUGGUGCUGAGAAAUAACAGGGACAUGUUGCACUCAAUGGGAAAAGACAUAAAAUCAUUUCCUCUUCCGGAGAUUGACAAACAACAUGAGACGACAGACGACAUACCUAGGGAAAUCAUCGAGGAGACCUCGAUUGAGGUGGACCCCGAGGACGCAUCUUUACAUAAAAACCUAAACAACGAGCAGAGGAAGGCCUACGAUGAAAUUCUACACACAAUUGACCGCCAAAGAGGAGGCAUAUUCUUUGUCGAUGGACCAGGAGGCAUAGGAAAACUUUUCUUUACAGGGCGCUCUUGGCCACAAUACGCGGACAAGGAAAAAUUCUUGUGGCGACAGCCACUUCUGGUGUUGCUGCUUCCAUAA
Molecule: ribosomal RNA, 600 nt
Filed under: Triticum aestivum (bread wheat)
Lineage: Eukaryota; Viridiplantae; Streptophyta; Magnoliopsida; Poales; Poaceae
Description: partial small subunit ribosomal RNA
Source: RNAcentral